UACGGGGGGGGCAAGCGUUGUUCGGAAUUACUGGGCGUAAAGGGCUCGUAGGCGGCCAACUAAGUCAGACGUGAAAUCCCCAGGCUCAACCUGGGAACUGCGUCUGAUACUGGAUGGCUUGAAUCCGGGAGAGGGAUGCAGAAUUCCAGGUGUAGCGGUGAAAUGCGUAGAUAUCUGGAGGAAUACCGGUGGCGAAGGCGGCAUCCUGGACCGAUAUUGACACUGAGGAGCGAAAGCCAGGGGAGCAAACGGG
This 253-nucleotide ribosomal RNA is filed under the name uncultured bacterium. RNAcentral describes it as "partial 16S ribosomal RNA". It matches the Rfam family "Bacterial small subunit ribosomal RNA", at positions 524 to 776 of the family's 1533-position model. The record is from RNAcentral.